GACGAACGCUGGCGGCGUGCUUAACACAUGCAAGUCGAACGGAAAGGCCCUGCUUUUGUGGGGUGCUCGAGUGGCGAACGGGUGAGUAACACGUGAGUAACCUGCCCUUGACUUUGGGAUAACUUCAGGAAACUGGGGCUAAUACCGGAUAGGAGCUCCUGCUGCAUGGUGGGGGUUGGAAAGUUUCGGCGGUUGGGGAUGGACUCGCGGCUUAUCAGCUUGUUGGUGGGGUAGUGGCUUACCAAGGCUUUGACGGGUAGCCGGCCUGAGAGGGUGACCGGCCACAGUGGGACUGAGAUACGGCCCAGACUGCUACGGGAGGCAGCAGUUGGGAAUAUUGCACAAUGGGCUGAAGCCUGAGGCAGCAACGCCGCGUGCGGGAUGACGGCCUUCGGGUUGUAAACCGCUUUCGCCUGUGACGAAGCGUGAGUGACGGUAAUGGGUAAAGAAGCACCGGCUAACUACGUG
RNAcentral lists this ribosomal RNA (468 nucleotides) under uncultured bacterium. RNAcentral's name for it is "partial 16S ribosomal RNA". It matches the Rfam family "Bacterial small subunit ribosomal RNA", at positions 28 to 507 of the family's 1533-position model. The record is from RNAcentral.